CUUGAACUAGGGUUUCAGAGCUUCUUCCAACUCUAUAUAACCACGAGGUUCCGUUCUAUUCUUCAUUCGCAGUCUUCGGAAAGGAAGCUGCUGUUCAUCUUUCUGAGACAGAUGUAUGUUAGGUAAUCACCUGCGAAAUUUUCUCUCCACUUCUGCUUCUGUUUAUAUGAUAUUAUGAUUGGUAAGCCUCUGCACGAUGCCUCCCGGGCUUCUCUGAAGUUAAUCUAGUGACGGCGAAUGCCCCAAUGCACGUGCUAAAGAUCCGCCGUUUAGUGUUGCAGUUUAGCCUUUUUCUCCUUUCUCCGGCUGAUCUGUGUCAAAUCAACGGCCACAUCUAUUCCUCCUUUUCUUAGUCUUAUGAAUAUUUUGUGUUUAGUAUGCCUCUCCACACCUUUAGCUUGUUUUCGACUUAAUUGUAUGGGAAAUAAGGCUAGUCAUGGAGGCAAAUAUUAUUUUUUUGCAGUGUUAACGUGGGGGUAUGUCUUCUUCAAUAGCUUUGCCUCUAAAAACAUCUGCUACAAUCUUUUAUAUUUCUUUCUCUGAUCUUUUUCACUUUGGUUAGCGAUUUGGAUUAUUAUUUUAUGCUUCAAAAAGUUGUUUUUUUUUUUGAAUGAUUUGGGUAAUUUUGAUGUUAAUUAUGUUGUUUUCCAAUAAUUGUCGGCGAUGAUUAAUUAUUUAUCCGCGCUUCUGAGAGAAAUCGAUGAAGCAGAAAAAUAAAUAUGGUUGAAUUUCUUGAUAUGAGCCAAUAAUCUCUAUCUUAAACAAAUACAUAUGAUGAUUUAGUGUUUUUUUAUUUUGUCUAUCUUUAUUUGUUUUCUAAUUCAUGGGUUCAUAUGUGUUGCAAAUUGGCUAUGAGGAUUAAUAUUCACUUUAAAUGUCAGUUCUGCUUCAGAAAAUUAUUGAUCGAUAGUGAUGUUAUUACUCUGAGCCUUUUAAUUCCCAGUUUUUUUUUUUUCCUUUUUAUAAUUUAUUUAUGUUUGGUUGAAUGGUUAGCAAUAGUUGGCAUGGAUGAGAUAUCCAUGUUGUUGAGAUGUAGUUGGCCCAAGUCCCUGUUUCAAGGGAAAACUUACUUGCGGUCACUGCAUCAAUUUAUGAAAUUACUGGAAAUCUCUGAGUCCAUUUGAUUCACCUUUACCAUGAACUUAUAAUUUUUAUUCUAAACAUACUUUUUGAAUGAAGAUUGCUAGUGAUGAGUUGAUCCACUUUGUUAUAGGUGUAGUUGAGCCAAGUCCCUGCUUGUCAGGGAGAACCUACUUGGUGGAGGCUACAUUACAAUGACAUUAAUGGAUUUUUCUGAAGCAAAUUUUAUAUCUUAAGUUGAUUGCUUCAUAUUUUUCUGUAUAUUGUUCCAAACUUGAAUUAUGUUUGUUCUUUAUUCUUUUGAGUUUAACUAUACCCUUUAAUCCUUUCUAAUGGAGUGAGGGUCUGAAAAACUCAGACAUUGGGUGUGUUGUCAUCAGCUUCAUCUCCCACAACCCACGAGAUAGGAGUUAAAUAACAGCACUACAUUUGGUGCCUUAAACUGAUUGAAAAUUUUAUUGGUGAAUGUUAUUUGAUGAUCUUUUGUACCUCUUUUACUUGGGUUGAAUGUUGGUUCUGUGAUUGCAGGUUCCUGAUGAUUGAGUUUAACACACCAUGCGCAGAAAUUUAGUGGUAAACAGUUAUAAAGGGAGGUGUUAACGAGUCGUAGAAUUUUUGUAAAUGACUAUGAAGUUGUAAAUAUACAUAAUUGGCUGUUCUUUGUUCUUGAAUGGGCUGUUUCUUCCUUCGCACUAUACAUCAUCAAGAAAUUUACAAAAUGGAAUGUGAAGUUUUAAAUAUUCUUGCUUUCUCAGUUAAUCCAUUUGAGUUUUUUCUUUAUGCUGAGAAUUGUUAGAAGGGAGUUAUCUGCUCAUAAGUUUUUUUUUUAAGUAAAAAAAUAUAAGUAUAAAAUCAAUAUUGUAUG
This 1945-nucleotide unclassified non-coding RNA is filed under the name Hevea brasiliensis (rubber tree). Lineage: Eukaryota; Viridiplantae; Streptophyta; Magnoliopsida; Malpighiales; Euphorbiaceae. The record is from RNAcentral.